Molecule: small RNA, 760 nt
Filed under: Arabidopsis thaliana (thale cress)
Lineage: Eukaryota; Viridiplantae; Streptophyta; Magnoliopsida; Brassicales; Brassicaceae
Description: ATSL088920
Source: RNAcentral
AUUUGGAGUCGAAUAGGACUUGAUGUCAUGUGUAUGAUUGAGUAUAACAACUUAAACCGCAACCUGAUCUUAAAUGCCUAAGUAGUGUUUCCUUGUUAGAAGACACAAAGCCAAAGACUCAUAUGGACUUUGCCUACACCAUGAAAGCUUUAAAAAGAAAGAAGAAUGUUGGUUAGCGUUUUGGAGUCGAAUAUGACUUGAUGUCAUGUGUAUGAUUGAGUAUAAGAACUUAAACCGCAACCCGAUCUUAACAGCCUAAGUAGUGUUUCCUUGUUAGAAGAUACAAAGCCAAAGACUCAUACGGACUUUGACUACACCAUGAAAGCUUUGAGAAGCAAGAAGAAGGUUGGUUAGUGUUUUGGAGUCGAAUAUGACUUGAUGUCGUGUGUAUGAUUGAGUAUAACAACUUAAACCGCAACCCGAUCUUAAGAGCCUAAGUAGUGUUUCCUUGUUAGAAGACACAAAGCCAAAGACUCAUAUGGACUUUGGUUACACCAUGAAAGCUUUGAGAAGCAAGAAGAAGGUUGGUUAGUGUUUUGGAGUCGAAUAUGACUUGAUGUCAUGUGUAUGAUUGAGUAUAAGAACUUAAACUGCAACCCGAUCUUAUAAGCCUAAGUAGUGUUUCCUUGUUAGAAGAUACAAAGCCAAAGACUCAUACGAACUUUGACUACACCAUGAAAGCUUUGAGAAGCAAGAAGAAGGUUAGUUAGUGUUUUGGAGUCGAAUAUGACUUGAUGUCAUGUGUAUGAUUGAGUAUAAS